CCUACGGGGGGCAGCAGUGAGGAAUAUUGGUCAAUGGCCGGGAGGCUGAACCAGCCAAGUCGCGUGAGGGAAGACGGCCCUACGGGUUGUAAACCUCUUUUGUCAGGGAGCAAGGUGCAGGUCGGGACCUGCUGUGCGAGUACCUGACGAAAAAGCAUCGGCUAACUCCGUGCCAGCAGCCGCGGUAAUACGGAGGAUGCGAGCGUUAUCCGGAUUUAUUGGGUUUAAAGGGUGCGCAGGCGGAGGCACAAGUCAGCGGUAAAAUCGCGGGGCUCAACCCCGCUCCGCCGUGGAAACUGUGGCCAGUGAGUGCGCGAAGGGUAGGCGGAAUGCGUGGUGUAGCGGUGAAAUGCAUAGAUAUCACGCAGAACUCCGAUCGCGAGGGCAGCCUACCGGCGCGCAACUGACGCUCAUGCACGAAAGCGUGGGUAUCGAACAGGAUUAGAUACCCUAGUAGUC
RNAcentral lists this ribosomal RNA (459 nucleotides) under uncultured bacterium. RNAcentral's name for it is "partial 16S ribosomal RNA". It matches the Rfam family "Bacterial small subunit ribosomal RNA", at positions 338 to 795 of the family's 1533-position model. The record is from RNAcentral.